Long non-coding RNA from Ictalurus punctatus (channel catfish), 3217 nucleotides. RefSeq lists it as uncharacterized. NCBI's taxonomy places the organism in Eukaryota, Metazoa, Chordata, Actinopteri, Siluriformes, Ictaluridae. The transcript is spliced from 3 exons. The record is from RefSeq and is a predicted model, not a curated record.
AUGUUUUUUUUUUUUUUUUAAGUGAAAGUUUCUUAAUUUAAUGAGGAUUUGCUGUACAGUGUGUAAUGUUUUACUCAGAUACACUUUUGCCUGAACAGUUUUCAAAACCCUCACUGUGGCUGCUGAGAUCAUUUUGAUAAAAAAAAAAAAGUGAAUAUAGAAUUUUAAAAUAUUGAAAAAAAACUUAUUAGAUGUCAUGCUGGUAUAUAAAUAUAAAUAAUAAUAAAAAUGACAGAUGCACAGAUAUUUUACUCAGCUUUAACCUAUGAAGUAAAAGAUAAAAUUAAACACAAUAAUCAUCAGGAAAUAUAAUGAAAUUUUGACAGACUGGACAUCAUUGUUUAGCAUUUUGCUAAUAUAGUAUGUACAGUAUAGCUUUCUGGCCAUUUGGGUCAUCUCUAAUUCUGACUUUAAUACAGUAUAUUCUCAUGAUGAUCUCUCUUCAUCUUAUUAAAGUGUAGUUAAUUGUAGAUAAGUCAGACUCCAGCCAUACUACACAUUUUUCAUUCAAGGGUUAAUCAUAAAAAUACACGAGUUUUCAAAUUGAGUAACAGUAUGAUUAGACGGCUACUUUAUACACAUGGUAUUGAUGAAUUAAUUAUCUUUCUUUUUUUCUUGUAAAACCUUUAGAUUGCAUGUUAAUAACUUUAGACUGACUUUCCAGUUUGGCUAAUUUGCACCAAAGUUUUCAUUAAACUGUGAAAGUAAUUCACUUCUGAUAAAUUUAUUUUAUUAUACAUUUAUUAUUAGCUUUUGAUUAUGUGAAGUGUCUGCCAUACAAGUCCUUGCAUAUGAGCUGUUACUAUAGAAGCAUAAUGUAUUAGAAUGAUUGCAUUAACAUAAAGCUAUCAUUCAAUGUACAGUCGGAACUUUCCUUGCUGUUACACGUGAAUAAUGUACACCUUUUUCUAGGGCUGCACAAUUAAUCGAAUAUCGAUCCCGAUUACGAUUUUGACUGAGAUAUUGAAAUUUAAAGUUCGUCCUCAGCUCACAGAAACCUCCACUGCAGAUCAAAUCAAGCGCUUCCUACACUUACAGCCAAUCACAGAGUGGCGCAGAGAUGACGUCAUUUUGUAGUGCCAAAACCCCAAAACGGAAUUAGCAUUUUAGCCCUCGAGCUGCCAGCUUCGCGCAAGGGGUAAUAAUGAAAUUAGCACGAUGCUAAAUGGCACUACAGAGGUUGUCGGGGACAUUAAACCUCAUCAUGCCGAACGGGAAAAAAAAAACAAAAAAACUUUGCAGAUAAACGCAGGGCUCUACAGUGCCACCAUUUCACUCGUAUUUGUGACUGAAAAGUAUUUUGUGCCUGAAAAGUAUUUUGUGCGACUGGAUAUAUUUAUUCGCACCGGUGCGAGUGACCUGUUCGGAGUUGUAUAAUACAAUCAGGAUAAAAACUACAGGAAGUCCAAAAUUUAUCUACACUGCGCAACAGUUACUUUCACACUGCUUUUCAUCACCUCAAUCAACUGAACAAGUGUGCAAAUACUGCAGAGAAGCCAUUAUGAUGAAAUGUAACACUGAACAUCUGCUUCAACUUCCUGAUCUCACAACCGCCAUCUUUUAUUGAUUCUGCAAAAUAAGCUGAACUUGCACCGGCUCAUGUAGACACAGCGGCUUCGCGUGGAGUAAUUAAUAAUAAUGCUAAUGCUACAAGUUGAGACCGAGCUCCCUGCAUCUCUGCUUCUAACAACUCCAACCCAAACAGAAAUAGACAAUGGAACAGCUACAUCUGCUUAGCUACACAAUUUUCACCUAAAUCACACACAUUUAAGUGGACUCGUGAAAGCAUGGAGCUCAAAAAUAAGGUCACUAUUUUAAGCUAGGAUAAAGGUGCUUCCACUGCCAUAAGUAGUAAAUCAGCACCAGUGAAUAGACGGGCUCAUCUUCUCCAGUUAAGUGUGAAUUCCAGCAGAGAUUAUGUGUCAGUUGAUACAAAACAGCCACAGGUGAGAAUAAUCGCACCUUUCACCAAGGACAUGCUGAUGAAAAGAGCCAGGUGGCAUGCAGACUGCAGGGUCAAGGGAGGGGUGGGUUGCAACGUUUUGAUUGUGAAGAGAUUUCUUCUCUUCCGGAAUAGCCAUAUCUACAAACAUAGUGGUCACACUCAUCACCCAGUUUUGAUGAGUGGAGCAAUGGCACCAAAAUCACCAAAGAGGAAAUUAUAGAAAAUGCUUUUACUACUUAUACAUAUUUUUGCUCUUAAUUUGUAUAAUAAAACUAUGAAGAUUUUAGCUAAGAUUCUAAAAAGCACAAUUUUAAACGUGAUAUCUAAUUAUAUUGAAAUUAUGUGCAAAAUUGUUUUUAUUUUACACUUGACCAAUGUUCCACAACAGACAGAAACAAUGCAAGAGUAGGAAACUGAGCAGGUUUUGAACUUUACUGUGGUUUCAAGUUCAUAGGCAAAAAAGACUGCCCCAAGGGUUACUUGUUCAUGCUAUCAGAGAGCUCCGGUGAAUCAGUGACUAUGGCUUGGUUGUAAAAGAUUUCUACCACAAGGAGGUGGCUGUAUAUUAUUAUAUUACACUAACUUUAUACAUCGCUAUCUCACUAUAUCGUAAAUAUGGAUUGUGUGAAAUAAUUCCAUAUCUGCACCUGGACUAGUUUUUAGUUAAGACAUUUUAGUUACAGCUGUUUUAAUCUCCUCCUUCAUCAUAUUCUCAACAAAUCAGCCUUUAUUUAAGGGAUAUAUUUGAUAGCAUUUUCCCUAAAACUGUACAUUAUGUUCAAAAGGCUCACAGUUAUAAAAUUAAAAAAUAAGAAAAUAAUUAAUAUCGGCUUCAAAGACCUAUCAAAUAUAUCUUCAAAUAGUUUCAUAAAAUGUAAGAGCCAAAUCCAUUAAUAAACUUUUAAUUCUGUUAAAAAUAAUAGAGAAUGCUACAAAGCUUUCCCCCACAAUGUCACUGUGUUUGCAUUUUUAUUAUAUAUUUUCAAGCUUUUUUUGUUCUGUGUUCAUGACUGUUAGUAAAUAUAUCCUCAAAUAGGCCAUAAACAAUGCUGCAAUGAUUUAGUUUAAUUCUGGAAAUAACUUUGUUUUUUUCUCUGUUUCCUCAUUGUAAUGUUCUGAGCUUUAAUUUCUGCUUUGCCUACUAGGCUAAUUUGCAUGUAUUUUAUAUCUGUAAAUAUUUUUGAAAAUUUAAAUUCUGGAUUUUUCUAUGCAUUUACUCAAAUCUCAAAUAAAUGUUUUUUUUUAAGUGCAAUUAAAAGUCUCAUUGUUUUC